UGGGGAGGGAGAGGGUGUGAGCGAGUGGCUGCAUGGUGCUUAAUUGCCAGCUGGACUAAAACCAGGAGAACAGCGUAUGUUUCAUUUCUAGGACUCCUCUGCAUCUUGCUUGCAUAAAUGGCCAUGCAGAUGUUGUUCAGUUUCUGGUAGAAAAGAAGUGCAAGCUAAAUCCUUGUGACAAAUUGAAUAAAUCACCACUAAUGAAGGCAGUAGAGCACCAGCACAAGGACUGUGCAGCUAUUCUGCUGGAACAUGGUGCCAACCACGACCACAGAGAUGUAAAUGGUAACACCGCCCUUCACUUUGCUGUCAUGGUUUCUAGCAAAUCUCUCGUGGAGCUGUUACUUGAGCACGGUACAGAUAUCAAUGCUAAGAAUAAAUUUGGAUACACUCCGCUUACUCUUGCAGUCACUGAAAACUGUGAAGAAAUGGUCAAGUUCCUUCUUCAAAAGGGAGCUGAUGUGAAUGCUCAGGAUAAUAUUUAUAGGUAAAGGGUUUGCCAAAAGUGCAUGUGGGACUCCUUAGCGCUGUUCAAGUUGGAUUGA
Non-coding RNA from Cyanistes caeruleus (blue tit), 545 nucleotides. The record is from RefSeq and is a predicted model, not a curated record. Lineage: Eukaryota; Metazoa; Chordata; Aves; Passeriformes; Paridae.